RNAcentral lists this RNase P RNA (401 nucleotides) under Staphylococcus epidermidis RP62A. RNAcentral's name for it is "sRNA". It matches the Rfam family "Bacterial RNase P class B". Rfam says of the family: Ribonuclease P (RNase P) is a ubiquitous endoribonuclease, found in archaea, bacteria and eukarya as well as chloroplasts and mitochondria. Its best characterised activity is the generation of mature 5'-ends of tRNAs by cleaving the 5'-leader elements of precursor-tRNAs. The record is from RNAcentral. Lineage: Bacteria; Bacillati; Bacillota; Bacilli; Caryophanales; Staphylococcaceae.
UGAUAUUUCGGGUAAUCGCUAUAGCAAUAUAGAGGAAAGUCCAUGCUCACACAAUCUGAGAUGAUUGUAGUGUUCGUGCUUGAUGAAACAAUAAAUCAAGGCAUUAAUUUGACGGCAAUGAAAUAACCUAAGUCAUUGGAUAUGGUUAGAAUAGUUUGAAAGUGCCACAGUGACGUAGCUUUUAUAGAAAUAUAAAAGGUGGAACGCGGUAAACCCCUCGAGUGAGCAAUCCAAAUUGGGUAGGAGCACUUGUUUAGCGGAAUUCAACGUAUAGACGAGACGAUUUUUACGCGAAAGUAAAAAUAUGUAGACAGAUGGUUACCACCGACGUACCAGUGUAACUAGUACACAUUAUGAGUACAACGGAACAGAACAUGGCUUACAGAAAUAUCAUCACUAGU